CUCCUACGGGGGGUAGCAGUAGGGAAUCUUCCACAAUGGGCGAAAGCCUGAUGGAGCAACGCCGCGUGGGUGAAGAAGGUCUUCGGAUCGUAAAACCCUGUUGUUAGAGAAGAAAGUGCGCGAGAGUAACUGUUCACGUUUCGACGGUAUCUAACCAGAAAGCCACGGCUAACUACGUGCCAGCAGCCGCGGUAAUACGUAGGUGGCAAGCGUUAUCCGGAUUUAUUGGGCGUAAAGGGAACGCAGGCGGUCUUUUAAGUCUGAUGUGAAAGCCUUCGGCUUAACCGGAGUAGUGCAUUGGAAAC
Molecule: ribosomal RNA, 305 nt
Filed under: uncultured bacterium
Lineage: Bacteria
Description: bacterial SSU rRNA
Rfam family: Bacterial small subunit ribosomal RNA
Source: RNAcentral